This is a long non-coding RNA of Haliotis rubra (blacklip abalone), 458 nucleotides long. RefSeq lists it as uncharacterized. The record is from RefSeq and is a predicted model, not a curated record. The transcript is spliced from 3 exons. NCBI's taxonomy places the organism in Eukaryota, Metazoa, Mollusca, Gastropoda, Lepetellida, Haliotidae.
AUACCAUGUACAGGAACAGGAGCUGGCACCUGCAAACAAGAAGCAUGGACUCUUGUGAUCCUUUUCAUCUUCUGAUCUUCAUGACCUUUCUCACAGGAAAUUUUCAUUUUGUGUGAUUUUAACUCAAAGCACGGUGCUCAAAUGGUAUAUAAAGUCACUCAUUGUAGCCACAGGUCCGCACAAGGUUUCAUCUAUGAAUGUCAGAAGAUUGAAUAUGUAGAACCUGUGGUAAUAGUAUUCCUAUGCUUUCGAAGAACCUUUGACACAAGAGUGCUCCGUUACUAUGGUGUAUAUUUUCACUGCCAGAUCGUUACUUGAAAUAAUCACUCACUAUAUUUAUCGAACUGCUGUAAAUGCAAGUGUUGUUUUUUUCAGUUUCAGCUAUAUGUAUAUAACUUUCUCUUCCCCCCCCCCCUCUCUCUCUCUCUCUGUGUAAGUGUGUUCACGGCGGAUUUUUA